AGCGCCUCCCGAAGAUCUCCGUUGCCGGCCCCUGGGAAGCGUUCCCCCAGACUGAGUGAAGGGGAGGAGUCUCUCUGGGCGCGCCUGCGCACUCGUACCCUCACCUGGGCCGCCUACUGGGGCCCCAUCCCACCCCGGAUCCUGGACAAGUCACUUGAGCCUUCUGGCCUCAGUUUGCCAAGGUGGACUCUAGAAGCCUCCAAACUUGUAGCCAGCAUGUGAAGACUGCUUCGGCGGAACAGGUGGAAGAAACCAACAAGAAGGUUCAACAGCUGAGAUGGCGACGCAGCAAGGCACUGUGGAGUGCUUAGGGUGUGAUGGAGCACAAAAGACAACACGGCCAUCCAAUGCAGCUGAGGAAGUCUCCAGGCAUAAUGACUUUUCGUGCCACUGGACCCAGGCUUCCAAUGCUGAGAGAGUGGGACUGUCUCUGUGCAUCGACUUUUCCGCUUAAAUCUUCAUGCACAGGUGUCUUUGCACAAAAACACACAAAGACAAUCGUCAUCCUUGGUUCGAGAGACAACCAACAACCUUGGUAAGGCAUCAGCCCCUCCCUGGCAUUCAGUCCAGGACUCCUCCUUUUCCUUUGUUACCAUUGUAGAGCCAACCAAUGCUCCCUCUCCUCUUCAGACCCCAUGAUCCAAUAGAAAGGUAUUUAAGCUUCCUGCUUUAAUAGUUCUCCCAGGGGUCAGUGACCAGAGCAACCAGUUUCACACAUCCUGCCCUAAGCAGUUCUGUGUGGAGUCCUCCUUUAGCACAAACUCCUUUCCUCAGAGUGGUUUUCUGACUCUUAAAUAGUUCUGUUUUUUACAGUUAACAAUUUCCUACCCUGUGCAAUGGGCUGCAGGAGGAGAGGGCAAAGCCAGCCAGCCUCUGCCCAGAAAGCCCCAAAAUCCGGGAGAGGCAGCCUGAGCCCAGCAGCUCUGCAGACAGACACACAGACACCCCCAGACUGUCCUCUGUCCAUCAGGGCCCAGAGCCUGGGCUCAGCAGCUGCUGCUGCCUUCUGUGGCCUCCCAAAGGGCAGGAGGAGGUUCCUAGGCCUCCCCCAGGCCUCUGAAGGGUCUUUGGGCCUUGUGGGCUGGGGGAGGUGCUGAGGGAGACCCUCCUCAGCUAGCCCAGAGGCCUCAGGCUUUAGGACCUAGAGUCUCAAGCACAAAUCCACAUAUUGGCCAUGCCCCAGGCAGCAGGGGAGGCCACAACUGUGCCCAUCCUGGUGGAGCCUUCCCAGGCACUCAGGGCUUCCUGGACCAGGGUGUCUCCUCCGCCUUCUGGUGGCUUAGUUCUCACAAGAAGGCCAACAAGGAGCCCCAACCACCCUCCGCUCUCACCUUAGCAAGACCUAAGCUGCUCUGCCACCUUGUCAGCCCCCAAUGGGGCUCAGGCCCAGACAAAGGAGCCAGCACUCUACCAGUGACCAAAAAGUAGAAGCUGCUUUUGGGUUUGAGUCAAGGUGUGCCUCCCCUGAGCUGGUGCCCCUUGACUCUGGCAGACCAGGUCAUGGAAGGCUGUGUGGAACCCUGUCCUUCCUGUCCCAGCUCUAUCCAGGGUGGGGGUGCAGGCUGGCCUUUCCUGAACCUUCAUGGAGUGGUGGUUAGGUCUUCAGGAAGAGUCCAGGCAGCCCUCACCUUGUAGCAGCCCAGGCAGUCCCAGAGCCAAAAGCCAAAGGUCAUUGAUGGGCAGAAAUUGGACCAGAAGGCUAUCAGACCCACUCCAAAAUCAGGGAUUGAGAUGAGUCACUGGCCUAAUCCUGGCCGGCCCCAAUACUGUGGACCAUCUAGAGAGGCCUGGGAUAAUGAAACUGGCAUGACAUGGGCACACAGCCCCUGGAGGGCCUGGAGCCAAAGGAGGGGAAGCCCUCAGAGACAUAAAGGAUCCACAGGCUCCUAGGGAGGGCACCAAGGCACCUGGCACCUGCCUGUUGCCUGGCAAGAGGGUUAUGGAAGCCUGACACGAACCACUGACCCACCUAGCCAAGUCUGGGCUCUGAGAACAACCAGGACACAGGGCUGUCUGUGGCCCACCCUGACCAGGAGGAUCUAAGAAUUUGGCCCCACCUGAAUGAGAGAAUAUUCUUAUUCUCUUAUAUAUGAUUAGAUUUAAAUGUGAUAGUCAUGAUUUUAUAAGGCUUUUCCAUCUGUAUUUUAGUUGUUUUAUAAUUGCUUUAGUUUAGGUCCUAGAGUCAUCCCACCUUUCUGAGUUGAGUUCAUGUAUCAUGUACCCCUUCCUUGUGACUGGGCAUGUUUCAGCAGCUUUCACCUUAAAUUUCAUAACCAGAUAUGGUGUUAUUCAUCAUCACCCAUCCUUACCCAGAGUGGGUCCAGGAAGCAUCCUUCUUCCGCCCAUAACCGUCAAGUGACUCUUAGGUCAAGAUCUCUCUCACGACAUAAGGAAUAUGUCCUAGGAGACCUAACCAAUGGACAAAUAUGGGUUACUUCAUAGUUGAACUAGCCAAUGAACAGUGUUGCUGGGUGUCCUCAUCCUUUGACGGGUAUGAUUAUUCUUAUACUUUAUGCUUUUAUGGAAAACUUGGCUAUUUCUUUAACAUUAUAAAAGGUCUAUUCCAGUGCUCAGGGUCUCCUGUUAUUAAACAGGAGUCUGGCUUUGUAGGAGGACUUAUCCCUCUUCCAAUAAAAUCUAAACAAUUACCUGU
This is a long non-coding RNA of Monodelphis domestica (gray short-tailed opossum), 2653 nucleotides long. RefSeq lists it as uncharacterized. Lineage: Eukaryota; Metazoa; Chordata; Mammalia; Didelphimorphia; Didelphidae. The record is from RefSeq and is a predicted model, not a curated record.